Molecule: long non-coding RNA, 863 nt
Filed under: Zonotrichia albicollis (white-throated sparrow)
Lineage: Eukaryota; Metazoa; Chordata; Aves; Passeriformes; Passerellidae
Description: lncRNA (ENSZALG00000008913.1)
Source: RNAcentral
CCCCAAAGCCCUGUCUCCUCAGAACUUCAUAUUCCACCGUUUCCUGUUAAAGCUAAAAUUCCACUGAACCUUCCUGUAUGUGCAUAUGCACAUCUAGCAGAAUCCUGAAACACCAUGGAUUCAGUGGAAAUUUCCCGUCAGUUUAUAAAUGCUGUCAGAGCCAGCUAUAAUAAAGAAACCACAAGUUACUUGCUUUAAUCUUCAACAGAACACCAGGAUUUUGGCAGGAGACACUUUCAUCAGAAAGUUUAUAACUAACAGUUGGGGAUGUUUUCCGCUAACAGGCAUACGUCAAAGUUUCUAUUUUAUGCAGGACCAGGCUUGGACUAUUAUGAAUGUUGCUGAACACUGUUAAUCAAGCUUACACAGCUAUUUUGAUGGCAAACAAUUAGAACUCUGAAGCAAUACCUUGCAAUUAGCUUCAGGGAUAUGGACCUCAGCACCGUAAUAAUGAAAGAGACCUUCUCCUUCAAGCAAGGUAAUGAGAUUUACAAUUAUGACCCCAAAUAACCUCUGAGAAAUAACCAAUCUGCAAACAUAGAUGUGUUUAUCAAUAAUUUGUGCCCUUUUUAUGAAAAUGUAUUUUAAUUUUUUUUUCACCUAUGAGUCAUUGUUUCUACUGAAGCACAGUGUAUAAAGCCUUAUAAAAUGACAAAAAUAUAAAUUGAAAGUCUGUAUAUAUAAUUUGAAUCCACCGGAGGGGUCUACAGAAUGAUAUGCAUCAAAAAAUUUCAAAUGUUGUGAGGAAAAUAACACUGAAAACUUGUGAGAAUAUACUGACAUUAUGAAAAAACUUGGGUGGUUAUAGUAACUUGAAAAUACUUAUUUACAUGUUUAGUAAACAUACACAAACAUAUACAUAU